AUUGAACGCUGGCGGAAUGCUUUACACAUGCAAGUCGAGCGGCAGCGCGGGGGCAACCCUGGCGGCGAGCGGCGAACGGGUGAGUAACAUAUCGGAACGUACCCCGUCCGUGGGGAGUAACACAGCGAAAGCUGUGCUAAUACCGCAUACGACCUGAGGGUGAAAGCGGGGGAGUCGCAAGACCUCGCGCGAUGGGAGCGGCCGAUAUCGGAUUAGCUUGUUGGUGAGGUAAAGGCUCACCAAGGCGACGAUCCGUAGCUGGUCUGAGAGGGCGACCAGCCACACUGGAACUGAGACACGGUCCAGACUCCUACGGGAGGCAGCAGU
Molecule: ribosomal RNA, 327 nt
Filed under: uncultured bacterium
Lineage: Bacteria
Description: bacterial SSU rRNA
Rfam family: Bacterial small subunit ribosomal RNA
Source: RNAcentral